UACGUAGGGACCAAGCGUUGUUCGGAUUUACUGGGCUUAAAGGGUGCGUAGGCGGCGCAGUAAGUUGGGUGUGAAAUCCCUCGGCUUAACCGAGGAAUUGCGCCCAAAACUACUGUGCUCGAGGGAGAUAGAGGUGAGCGGAACUUAGGGUGGAGCGGUGAAAUGCGUUGAUAUCCUAAGGAACACCGGUGGCGAAAGCGGCUCACUGGAUCUCUUCUGACGCUGAGGCACGAAAGCUAGGGUAGCAAACGGG
RNAcentral lists this ribosomal RNA (253 nucleotides) under uncultured bacterium. Its description in RNAcentral is "partial 16S ribosomal RNA". It matches the Rfam family "Bacterial small subunit ribosomal RNA", at positions 524 to 776 of the family's 1533-position model. The record is from RNAcentral.